This 253-nucleotide ribosomal RNA is filed under the name uncultured bacterium. RNAcentral's name for it is "partial 16S ribosomal RNA". It matches the Rfam family "Bacterial small subunit ribosomal RNA", at positions 524 to 776 of the family's 1533-position model. The record is from RNAcentral.
UACAGAGGUCCCAAGCGUUGUUCGGAUUCACUGGGCGUAAAGGGUGCGUAGGCGGUCGGGUAAGUCUGAUGUGAAAUCUCACAGCUUAACUGUGAAACUGCAUUGGAUACUAUCCGGCUCGAGGAAUGGAGGGGAGACUGGAAUACUUGGUGUAGCAGUGAAAUGCGUAGAUAUCAGGAGGAAUACCGAUGGCGAAGGCAGGUCUCUGGGCUGACACUGACGCUCAUGCACGAAAGCGUGGGGAGCAAACAGG